RNAcentral lists this ribosomal RNA (469 nucleotides) under Centipeda noxia. RNAcentral describes it as "bacterial SSU rRNA". It matches the Rfam family "Bacterial small subunit ribosomal RNA", at positions 28 to 475 of the family's 1533-position model. Lineage: Bacteria; Bacillati; Bacillota; Negativicutes; Selenomonadales; Selenomonadaceae. The record is from RNAcentral.
GACGAACGCUGGCGGCGUGCUUAACACAUGCAAGUCGAACGGAGCGAAUGAAAGCUUGCUUUUAUGCGCUUAGUGGCAAACGGGUGAGUAACACGUAGGCAACCUGCCGACAGGAUGGGGACAACAUUCCGAAAGGAAUGCUAACACCGAAUGAAGCGGGGAGAGGCAUCUCUCCUGCGUGAAAGAUGGCCUCUAUAUAUAAGCUAUCACCUGUCGAUGGGCCUGCGUCUGAUUAGCUGGUUGGUGAGGUAACGGCUCACCAAGGCGACGAUCAGUAGCCGGUCUGAGAGGAUGAACGGCCACAUUGGGACUGAGACACGGCCCAGACUCCUACGGGAGGCAGCAGUGGGGAAUCUUCCGCAAUGGGCGCAAGCCUGACGGAGCAACGCCGCGUGAGUGAAGAAGGUCUUCGGAUCGUAAAGCUCUGUUGAUGGGGACGAACGUGCCUAAUGCAAAUAGCUUUAGGUAA